ACAUAAUGGUCAAAGCUUACAUAACAGUUUACGUAAACCACAAGCUUACAUAAUGGUCAACCGCUUACAUAAGUGCUCACUUACAUAAGCGUUCACUACAUAGCAUUCACCACCUCAACCCAUUUUGGUGUAUUCUGAUGUUGGGGUUCUCAAACUCCGGAUCAGGGCCUGAACCGCAGAAAUCAGCGCUUUCCCCGCCUGGGAUUUGCAUGUUUGCCCUGUAAUCUAAAGUUCCCCUUCCAGCGAAACAUUCUUCCCGCCCAGAAUGCCCAGCAAGGCAAUUCGCGGAUACUUGUCCCAUCUCACGGUCUGAAAAAUCGUAAGUCGAAAUCGCACAUUUGUUAGGGACGUCUCGCGCACACCAGACUCCUAACAAACAGUCGACCAAUUCACUCCGCUAGUCCACCCAACGCAUAUCCACCUAGUCUAGUUUUGCACCCGACGAAAAGGACCCGGAAGGAUAUACAUGAAAGAAGAGUGAAAACUCUGAGAACGCAGGGCAUGGGAACACUGGCAAAGGGUCGGGAGACACGAGCCAGCCUAACAUGCCCACAAGGGAAAAGUGGAUUACUACGUAGAUAAAUAAUCGUAGGGCCUUAAGCCUACUAACUCUAAAAGAGCCGGGGGAACAAACACUUUAUCUAGCUUCAAAACCUAGUU
This 660-nucleotide unclassified non-coding RNA is filed under the name Komagataella phaffii CBS 7435. RNAcentral describes it as "35S gene promotor". Lineage: Eukaryota; Fungi; Ascomycota; Pichiomycetes; Pichiales; Pichiaceae. The record is from RNAcentral.